This 657-nucleotide ribosomal RNA is filed under the name Lactifluus corrugis. RNAcentral's name for it is "LSU rRNA". It matches the Rfam family "Eukaryotic large subunit ribosomal RNA", at positions 38 to 667 of the family's 3401-position model. Lineage: Eukaryota; Fungi; Basidiomycota; Agaricomycetes; Russulales; Russulaceae. The record is from RNAcentral.
GCAUAUCAAUAAGCGGAGGAAAAGAAACUAACGAGGAUUCCCCUAGUAACUGCGAGUGAAGCGGGAAAAGCUCAAAUUUAAAAUCUAAUGGUCCUUGGCCAUUCGAGUUGUAAUUUAGAGAAGCGUCUUCCGCGCCAGACCAUGUACAAGUCUCCUGGAACGGAGCGUCAUAGAGGGUGAGAAUCCCGUCUUUGACAUGGACCCUCGGUGCUUCUGUGAUGCGCUCUCAAAGAGUCGAGUUGUUUGGGAAUGCAGCUCAAAAUGGGUGGUGAACUCCAUCUAAGGCUAAAUAUUGGCGAGAGACCGAUAGCGAACAAGUACCGUGAGGGAAAGAUGAAAAGCACUUUGGAAAGAGAGUGAAACAGUACGUGAAAUUGUUGAAAGGGAAACACUUGAAGUCAGUCGCGUCGAUCAAGACUCAGCCUCGCCUCGGCUUGGCGUACUUCUUGACUUUGACGGGCCAGCAUCAAUUUUGUCCCUCGGAUAAUGGCAAGUGAAAGGUGGCACCUUUACGGGUGUGUUAUAGUCUCUUGUCGCAUACGAGGGGUGGGAUUGAGGAACUCAGCACGACGCCGCGAGGUGCGGGGCUUCGGCUCACGUUACGUGCUUAGGAUGCCGGCGUAAUGGCUUUAAAUGACCCGUCUUGAAACACGGACC